UAUGUGCGUCAUGCUGCUUUGAGUAUUGA
Molecule: non-coding RNA, 29 nt
Filed under: Mus musculus (house mouse)
Lineage: Eukaryota; Metazoa; Chordata; Mammalia; Rodentia; Muridae
Source: RNAcentral